UACGGAGGGGGUUAGCGUUGUUCGGAAUUACUGGGCGUAAAGCGCACGUAGGCGGAUAUUUAAGUUAGAGGUGAAAUCCCAGGGCUCAACCCUGGAACUGCCUUUAAUACUGGAUGUCUUGAGUUCGAGAGAGGUAAGUGGAAUUCCGAGUGUAGAGGUGAAAUUCGUAGAUAUUUGGAGGAACACCAGUGGCGAAGGCGGCUUACUGGCUCGAUACUGACGCUGAGGUGCGAAAGCGUGGGGAGCAAACAGG
RNAcentral lists this ribosomal RNA (253 nucleotides) under uncultured bacterium. Its description in RNAcentral is "partial 16S ribosomal RNA". It matches the Rfam family "Bacterial small subunit ribosomal RNA", at positions 524 to 776 of the family's 1533-position model. The record is from RNAcentral.